This 261-nucleotide ribosomal RNA is filed under the name Triticum aestivum (bread wheat). Its description in RNAcentral is "partial small subunit ribosomal RNA". The record is from RNAcentral. Lineage: Eukaryota; Viridiplantae; Streptophyta; Magnoliopsida; Poales; Poaceae.
ACCCAGGUAUAUGAAAUCAGGAAAAACUGAGCAAAACCAUAUUUCACGGGUGUUUUCUGCGCAAAGGUGACGAGCACACAACGCGAUGAAAGCGCUAAUCACAUGUUGAAGGCGUACAUGCCACCGGCAAGUCCGAUGCAUGUUUUUGUUAGGCAGUACAUGAGGUUACAGUUUGACCGCGAGCGCGAGGAAAGCUAUGAAGAGAAGAGGACGAUGGUAGUAAUUUUUCUUUUGGUUUCGCUCAACACAUUUAGUUUGUGA